AUUAUGGAGAGUUUGAUCCUGGCUCAGGACUAACGCUGGCGGCGUGCCUAACACAUGCAAGUCGAACGGGGUAGCAAUACCUAGUGGCAGACGGGUGAGUAACACGUGGUCAACCUGCCUUUGUGUGGGGGAUAACUAGCCGAAAGGUUAGCUAAUACCGCAUACGAUCGUUUUGAGGCAUCUCAAAGCGAUGAAAGAAGCAAUUCGCACAAAGAGGGGACUGCGUCCCAUUAGUUAGUUGGUGGGGUAACGGCCUAC
The sequence is a ribosomal RNA, 258 nucleotides long. It matches the Rfam family "Bacterial small subunit ribosomal RNA", at positions 1 to 268 of the family's 1533-position model.